GAGCGGUAGCAGGUGUAGCAAUACAUGCUGACGAGCGGCGAACGGGUGAGUAAUGCUUCGGAAUCUGCCCAAUGGUGGGGAAUAACCAGCCGAAAGGUUGGCUAAUACCGCAUAAGUCCUACGGGGGAAAGCAGGGGAUCGCAAGACCUUGCGCCGAUGGAUGAGCCGAAGUCGGAUUAGCUAGUUGGUAGGGUAACGGCCCACCAAGCCAGUGAUCCGUAGCUGGUCUGAGAGGAUGAUCAGCCACACUGGGACUGAGACACGGCCCAGACUCCUACGGGAGGCAGCAGUGGGGAAUAUUGGACAAUGGGGGCAACCCUGAUCCAGCAAUGCCGCGUGAGUGAUGAAGGCCUUAGGGUUGUAAAG
Molecule: ribosomal RNA, 366 nt
Filed under: uncultured bacterium
Lineage: Bacteria
Description: bacterial SSU rRNA
Rfam family: Bacterial small subunit ribosomal RNA
Source: RNAcentral